RNA transcript from Zea mays, 1397 nucleotides. RefSeq lists it as uncharacterized. The record is from RefSeq and is marked validated. The transcript is spliced from 5 exons. NCBI's taxonomy places the organism in Eukaryota, Viridiplantae, Streptophyta, Magnoliopsida, Poales, Poaceae.
ACGAGUUGUGGAGUCUGCUGAAGAACGAGUUGGAGUCUGGGAGACGUUUAGACAAACACAAGCAAAUUUUUUUUCAAUCCCGCAGAGGGCAAAACCGUCCAACGAGACAACCCCGCGCAGAGGCAAAAGCCCCACGCUUGAGAGUGAGAAGAAACAGACGCAUCGCUUCCUUGUCCAUCCUACCUCCCCUUCCCCCCGCCCAAAUCCCGUGACGGUCGCCGCCCCCGCCGUGCUCUCGCCCGCGCGGGAGACGACGCAGCACCCCCCCGCGUAGGAUCCGCGGCGGUCGGCAGGAUGGUGGUGGCCACGGAGGAAAUGGUGGUCUACUGCUUUGACACCCUCGUCGCCUAUUUCACCGGCGAGCGGCCGCCGCCUCCCGCCUUCGAGGAUGGAAACCACCCAUUGUUUGUGACCUGGAAGAAGGCUGCCAAUGGUUCAGAACCACGCCUCCGGGGAUGCAUAGGAACUCUGGAGUCCCGUCAGAUUGUCAGCGGCUUUAGGGACUACGCCCUAACUAGUGCGCUGAGGGACCGACGCUUUCCCCCAAUACAAUCAAAGGAACUCCCAACCUUGGAGUGCACGGUAUCUAUACUCACUGAUUAUGAAAUUGCAGAGGACUACCUCGACUGGGAGGUUGGAAAGCAUGGUUUAAUUAUUGAAUUUACAGCUCCAGACUCCAACACAAAACACAGUGCGACCUAUUUGCCUGAAGUUGCGGGCCAUGAAGGUGAAAAUUUCCUUUUUCAUCGAUGCGAUGUACACUUAUCGUUUCUACAGAGUUCUUUAGUUUCUAGAAUUAUUGCAGGGGAUAAUAAGAAGAAAUGAGUUAAGAAAAUAUGUAAUUUCAUCUUUCUAAAUCAUCAUGGACCAAAUGCAUUAUAAUGAGCAAUAACGGUUGGACACAUGUAGAAACUAUUGAUUCACUCGUGAGGAAGGCAGGUUACCAGAGAAUCAUCACUGAGUCCUUGAGGAAGAAAAUCAAAGUCACUCGCUACCAGAGCACCCUGUACACGAUGCACUAUGGUGAAUAUGUUGCGUACCUCAAGAAGAACAGAGGUGCAGCCCCGUCAAUUAGUGGGGCUCCUCCUGUAGUUAAUGGCUUCAAGCCAAGCCAUUGAUUUAUCAGUAUAAAAAAAAGCUCAAAGAACAUAUUACUAUAAUUUAUCUGCGAGCAAUUUGGGGGGUGUAGUGUAACCACCCCCCACAGUUCAUUGAUCUAGCAUCAUUCCCUUCCAAGGAAAAGGCCAAAUAGGGGCGUCAUGACAAGCGCCCAGAAUAAUAAUGCCUUCCUGGAUGGAUCAUGGAUGAUGCUUAUGUAUCUUGAAAACACAUGUGCUUCAAGAAGUUCAAAUUGUGUGGUGAAGUUAAUUGAUUCGAGUUGGCCAUUCCUAGUUCCA